UUUUUUAUAAGAACUCAAUUGUAAAUUUUGUCUCUACUGAUGCCAAAUCAUCAUCAAUACAUUAUCAAGAGGGUAGGAGACGCUAUUGGUAAAGGUCACCACCUGACGGUAACUACAAAUCUUUAAUGAAAGAAGUACUAUCGUCUAUCGAAUUCUGAAGAAAGGAAAGGCAAAAACAUGUAGAGAAGACGAAGCAAAUAUCAGCUCUAUGUCCUCACUUUCUUGCUGAGUUGAUUAUUAGCAAAUGCCAGAUCACAGCAGCGAGGGUGGCUAAAUUCUACAACCAUAGUUGGUCAGUGAUCAUGGCGCUAUCUGCUACUUCAAAGAACAUAUGUGGCAUAGAUGCGCUACAGCCUACAGGUGGGAAUCAAUGGUGUCAUAAGAAAACCUAGUCUCCUGCAAUGAGGAAAAGGAACUUCAGAGUCGUACAAAUAGCUGGCGAAGGCUUUUGAGGUAAUAUUAUUGGAAAAACAAACUUGGAGGGCGCAAAACUAUCACGAGCUUGCAAUCGAACUGCUGCCUUCAUUGGACUUGUAUAGAGAGAACAUCACAGCUUUGGUUGAUGAACCAGCUUGCUGCUACCCUUGUAGUUUGUGGCAGUUUUAGUUAUGCAAUAUAGGUUAGUUUGCCGUUCAAUUCUUGGCUCAUGAUAUAGUGAAAUCUAUCAUAUAUUGGUACUAUUGGUCCUAAAAAGUUUCUCCUCUUACAAUAGAUAGGGGUACUGUUGGCUUCUUCUUUGAAAGGAACUCAAAGAACUCCUCUGGUUACGCUCCACUUAGCAGUCAUAUGCAUGAACAGAUUCUGCAGGCAAUCUGUCCAAGUAGUAACCACAUUAAGCUCAUCUUGCAGCACUUGGGCAUAGAACAUUUAUAAAAAAAAUCCAUUUAUCUAUAUCAAGGGCAUUUAUUUUGCAAAUAAAGUGGAUAAAAGAUUAAGUGAGGUUUAACCUCAGUUUCCAGAGCCAAAAAAAAUAUAUACAGGAGUAGUUGUUUUCAGCUUUAACAAAUAGCUAGACUCAAACUCUUAAGGAAAACCCUUUCACAUCAGGAGAUAUAAGAUCUAUGUCCCUCCUGGAAUAUAAGCACCAAUGUUUUCUGAAAUUUAAUGCAUCAAAAAAGAAUAUGCGGAGCAUUUCUAAUUUUCAAAUCAAAGGGUAUAUUAAAGCAGGAAAAAACACAUAGAAAUAUGCGACCAACUUGAAGAUAGCUUAUAUGGACAUUUACACACUUGUAAGUAUUUUCAAAGAAAUUAUAGUAAUAAGAAAACAUGUUUUCUAAUGAGCCACCCGCAGAUUACUAUCAAGAAGACCAUGCAUCUGAAUAUUAGUUGAUUACAGAACAUCAUAUUACUUACCUAAGUGCUGCAUAGACCGGCCAGUAAAUCAUUGCGCGUACCAACAUGGAAGAAAACAACUUAGUUUUAGAAGCAAUAUAUCAUCAAAUAAACCCAAAUAUAAGAAUCAUAUUUCAUUUAUACCACGAAAAUAGAGAGGCAGGCAAGAAGUUCAAAUAUCACAAGUACAACAUUUAAUCUCCAUUUAGUCUUAUUAGUUACUACACAUUGUAAGCUUAUGGUAUUUGACACCAAUCAAAAAAAAAGAGUGCAUGGUAUCUGGAAGAAAGCUAAGAAAAGGAAAUUUCAUUUAAUUGGUCAUAUUAGUAGUAGGUUAUGAUUUUUGUCCAAAGAAGCAACCACAACAAGAUUAUUUAAAAGCAACAGUCAUUGCAAAAAUGGCUUCAAACAUCAUACUUUAUUAGUCCUUAGAUUCGUUUCUAAUAACAUUCUAGAUUCGUUUCUAAUAACAUUCAUUUUAGUAAAUAAAAAGAUAUACCACAAGUGGACAUGAUCAAGCACAUUUUUCAAAUAUGUAUAAUUUUGUGCUUAACCGAGAUUUGUUUUUGAUUAGUUAUAGUUGACCAAGUCUAAAGAGCCUAAUCCAUACUUAUAAGCAAUUGAGUUGAUUCGAUGCCAGAAUCAUAUUUAUCUUUCACGGUUUGUGAUAUGGCCAGACAAUAAUGAAUAGAAACAUUGGCGAUUUGUUUGUUUCCGUCCGCAAGAAAGUCGCAUUUCAUAGAGGUCUAACAUUUUUUCGCACUAUAUUACUCUAUCGUAGUUGUAUUCAACUAAUACUAUAGCCUUUUAUAAGAUACUAAAGUGAAAGAGUGCAUCCAAUAAUGUUUAUGUAAAUCAGUAUAUGUAUGCAUAUUAUCAUCAUCUAUUACAUAAAAUUUUGUUGGCAGAGUCCUCGUAUUACAAAGAGACGAAGUUAGAAUAAAAGACCCAUGAUAUGACUCCUUAAUGAAAGCUUUGGGAAUUUCCAUUACACUACAGUUGUUAUCUACAAUAGUACAAAUGAUAUCUAGAUCGUUCAUUCUUAAGCAGGGUCAUCUAAAAAGAAUAUAUUGAUUUAUCUUUUUCUAAAGCAGAGGAUGAACUGCACUAAUAUAAAUGAGUAUUUCAGAAAAAUUAAAAGAUGCUUGCAGUAUAAAUGCGUCAGGUUGAGUCGAAGCCAAUAAGAUAGGUACUAAAAGUAGAAAUUUUAGUGUACUAAAAGUAGAAAUUUUAACUUCGUUAUUUUUAGGAAUCAGAAUCUUGCAGAGUUUUUGAAGUAGCUAUUAAGUUUGGGAAGGAAAAAAAGGAGGAGAAAGAAAGAAUCAUACAUUUUUCCUCAAGUGCAGUGCUAGGCGCGAUCUAAUUGACAGUGACCAUGGUUAAAAAAUCUAGAUUCACCUCUUUCAGACAUAUCAUCAAACAACACAGCUGUAUAGUCCACUUCAACAUUCCUGUCAUUUUUUUAUACAUCAGAUUUUCCGGUUAGUAACAAAAACAAAUUAAUUAAAAAGAUAAAAUGAUGUGCUGAUCAGGCACACUUACUAACAUGCAUGUAUAACUCUAGCAAGACAAUAUUCAAAUAUCAUAGCAAGCGGAUAUAUAGACACGAAGUUAUUUUAUUGCAAAUAAAGAAAUUGCAAUAAACAAAGAAGGAUUGCGGCCGCACCAAAUACAAAUAGAAGAGAAAUAGACAAUCUUUGGAGAUCUCUGAAAGAAUGAAUACCCAAAAAGAACACAUCCAUUAUACCACAAUCACAUGGCCAAGCACAUGCACAUGCACAUGCACAUUAGCACUCUCAUUCCACUAAGGAACACAAUUUUAAGUGUUGUCAGAGUUCUCACCCCAAAAACCACCGUCACAGACCCAUCAACAGAUUCACCAGAACUGAACAAAAACAAAUCACACAGCAUAUAUAACAUAGAACUGAAAUUGAGAAUUUAGGAAUUUGAAAAAGAAAUCCUCAAUCAAAGAAGGGCAUGCAUGAGUUUUGUUGUACAAAUAGGAAGCAAGGAACUCCACAAUUUACCGUUUUCAACCUAUACAGAAAAGAGCCAUGCCAUAAAAUGUACCAUAUCAGACAAAUCAGCAGAAAAUUGUUAUUCUUUUUCAGAGUAAAGAACAGCGAGAAUAGAUCCGUCACUAAAAGGAAGCGCCGAAGAAAGAAAGGAAACUUCCCAAAGAGAGAUAACUUUGAUGCCGUGAAGGAAAAAGGUAAUUCCAUAGAGAGCGUCGAGAGGGAGAGAGAGUUUC
This 3583-nucleotide long non-coding RNA is filed under the name Nicotiana tabacum (common tobacco). RNAcentral describes it as "long non-coding RNA (NTAB_LNC017603)". The record is from RNAcentral. Lineage: Eukaryota; Viridiplantae; Streptophyta; Magnoliopsida; Solanales; Solanaceae.